Molecule: non-coding RNA, 2173 nt
Organism: Elaeis guineensis (African oil palm)
Lineage: Eukaryota; Viridiplantae; Streptophyta; Magnoliopsida; Arecales; Arecaceae
Source: RefSeq, a predicted model, not a curated record
CAUGGUUUCUAUCAGAGCCCAAGCCAGUCCAUCACAAAACCGGAGCUCUUUACUAAUACCCAAAACCUCAACCUCCGUCGCCCCACUCUCUCCCCCUCUCCUGGUGUACCCAAAGCCCUACCGCCAUCCUCCUCCGCCCAUUCGGCCCCGACACGGGAUUGAAACCCUAGCUCGGCAUCGCCAUGAUCUGUGCGAUCUCCGGUGAAGUGCCGGAGGAGCCGGUGCUCUCAAAGAAAUCAGGGCUUCUGUUCGAGCGCCGGCUGAUCGAGCGCCACAUUGCGGAUUACGCGAAGUGUCCAGUUACCAAGGAGGCGCUCACAAUGGACGAUAUCCUGCCUGUGAAGACAAAUAAGGCAGCGAAGCCUAGACCCUUGCAAGCUGCGAGCAUCCCUGGGCUGCUUGGAAUGUUCCAAAAUGAGUGGGAUGCUUUGAUGCUGUCCAAUUUUGCACUGGAACAGCAAUUGCAUACAGCAAGGCAAGAACUAAGUCAUGCGCUAUACCAGCAUGAUGCUGCAUGCCGUGUUAUAGCAAGAUUAAAGAAGGAAAGGGAUGAGGCCAGAAUGCUCUUGGCUCAGGCUGAAAGACAGAUUCCUUCAUCAAUGGCAUCUGCUGCUAAUGCAAACAAUAUUGUCAGCAAUGGGAAAAGAGCUGCAGAGGAGGAGUUGGGCCCUGAUGGGAAAAGAAUUCGUCCAGGUAUAAAUCCUGGUAUGAUUGCAGAACUUACAGAGUGUAAUGCUAUGCUUUCAGGACAGCGGAAGAAGCGGCAGAUUUCACCAACAUUGGCGCCUAUUGAUGCAUUGGAGAGAUACACACAAAUUUCUAGUCAUCCCCUUCACAAGACUAACAAGCCGGGCAUACUAUCUGUCGAUAUCCAUCCUUCAAAGGAUAUAAUUGCAACUGGAGGGAUUGAUGCAAAUGCAGUACUUUUUGAUAGGUCAGCAGGUCAGAUCAUAUGUACGCUCACUGGACACUCAAAGAAGGUUACCAGUGUGAAAUUUGUUCCUCGGGAUGAGCUUCUUAUAUCUGGCUCAGGAGAUAAGACUGUUCGUAUUUGGCAAGGGACUGAAGAUGGGAAUUAUGAUUGUGUACAUGUCUUGAAAGACCAUAGUGCAGAGGUACAAGCGGUCACGGUCCAUGCUACCAAUAAUUACUUUGUGACUGCUUCCUUGGACAACACUUGGUGUUUCUAUGAUCUUGCUACUGGAUCAUGCCUCACUCAGGUUGGUGAAGCUUCAGGAGAAGAGGGCUACACUUCAGCUGCCUUUCACCCUGAUGGUCUUAUCCUUGGAACAGGCACUUCUGAAGCACUUGUUAGAAUUUGGGAUGUAAAAUCACAGUCAAAUGUUGCAAAAUUUGAUGGGCAUGCUGGAGCAGUCACUGCCUUGUCUUUUUCUGAAAAUGGUUAUUUCCUAGCGACUGCAGCUCUUGAUGGUGUUAAGCUGUGGGAUCUUCGGAAACUGAGGAACUUCAGAUCCUUUACUCCCUAUGACUCAGAUACACCAACAAAUUACCGUGGAAUUUGAUUUUAGUGGAAGCUAUCUUGCAAUUGCAGGUUCUGAUAUAAGGGUCUACCAAGUUGCAAAUGUAAAGCUGGAAUGGAAUCAUAUUAGGACAUUUGCCGAUUUAUCAGGCACAGGAAAAGUGACAUGCAUAAAGUUUGGAGCAGAUGCAAAAUACAUGGCUGUUGGUUCCAUGGACCGUAAUCUUCGAAUAUUUAGUCUCCCAGGGAAUGACUCAGAAGAACCCAGAUCACCAGGUCACUGAUUUCAAAUUACAGAUUAUCUGUGGCUGUAUCAUUUGACGACGCUGUCUGGUAUUUGGGGGAGUGCCCACACACCCCUGGGCUCAAGGUCAGCGCUUAACCCCUGGAUGCCCACCUCGUAUUGUAGGUGCAACAAAGAAGCCCUGAAUGGAAUUUUAUAUAGGAGUAUUGUCCUGUGAGACAAUGACGUAUUGUAGUUUUGAGUUGGUGUGAAAGCAUAGAGGCAUCUAUUCAGGGAGCAUUGUGAUUUUGACAUCGUCGCUUGUUUAUAUUCUAGCUUCAUUUGUGAGGGCUUUGCAAAGCUCCCCAGAAAAGGAGAGAGGGGCCUUAAGGACCCAGAGGAGAACAUGCUAAAUCUUUCCCGGACGAGAGCAGGCAUUGUUAGCUUAAAAAAAAUAGUAGUAAUAAACA